AUUGAACGCUGGCGGCAGGCCUAACACAUGCAAGUCGAGCGGAUGAAGGGAGCUUGCUCCUGGAUUCAGCGGCGGACGGGUGAGUAAUGCCUAGGAAUCUGCCUGGUAGUGGGGGAUAACGUCCGGAAACGGGCGCUAAUACCGCAUACGUCCUGAGGGAGAAAGUGGGGGAUCUUCGGACCUCACGCUAUCAGAUGAGCCUAGGUCGGAUUAGCUAGUUGGUGGGGUAAAGGCCUACCAAGGCGACGAUCCGUAACUGGUCUGAGAGGAUGAUCAGUCACACUGGAACUGAGACACGGUCCAGACUCCUACGGGAGGCAGCAGUGGGGAAUAUUGGACAAUGGGCGAAAGCCUGGUCCAGCCAUGCCGCGUGUGUGAAGAAGGUCUUCGGAUUGUAAAGCACGUUAAGUUGGGAGGAAGGGCAGUAAGUUAAUACCUUGCUGUUUUGACGUUACCAACAGAAUAAGCACCGGCUAACUUCGUG
RNAcentral lists this ribosomal RNA (484 nucleotides) under uncultured bacterium. Its description in RNAcentral is "partial 16S ribosomal RNA". It matches the Rfam family "Bacterial small subunit ribosomal RNA", at positions 30 to 507 of the family's 1533-position model. The record is from RNAcentral.